UAAUGAUGGGGGCGCUGUCUCCAGCAGAGACUCAGUGAAAUCGAAUUCGCCGUGAAGAUGCGGUGUACCCGCGGCUAGACGGAAAGACCCCGUGAACCUUUACUGCAGCUUGACAUUGAACUUUGAUCUUACUUGUGUAGGAUAGGUGGGAGGCUUUGAAGUCGCGACGCUAGUUGCGAUGGAGCCGUCCUUGAAAUACCACCCUGGUAAUAUUGAGGUUCUAACUCUGUCCCGUUAUCCGGGACGAGGACCAUGUCUGGUGGGUAGUUUGACUGGGGCGGUCUCCUCCUAAAGAGUAACGGAGGAGUACGAAGGUGCGCUCAGCGUGGUCGGAAAUCACGCGUAGAGUAUAAAGGCAAAAGCGCGCUUAACUGCGAGACCCACAAGUCGAGCAGGUACGAAAGUAGGUCUUAGUGAUCCGGUGGUUCUGUAUGGAAGGGCCAUCGCUCAACGGAUAAAAGGUACUCUGGGGAUAACAGGCUGAUACCGCCCAAGAGUUCAUAUCGACGGCGGUGUUUGGCACCUCGAUGUCGGCUCAUCUCAUCCUGGGGCUGAAGCAGGUCCCAAGGGUAUGGCUGUUCGCCAUUUAAAGAGGUACGCGAGCUGGGUUUAGAACGUCGUGAGACAGUUCGGUCCCUAUCUACCGUGGGCGUUGGAAAUUUGAGAGGAUCUGCUCCUAGUACGAGAGGACCAGAGUGGACGAACCUCUGGUGUACCGGUUGUCACGCCAGUGGCAUCGCCGGGUAGCUAUGUUCGGAAGGGAUAACCGCUGAAAGCAUCUAAGCGGGAAGCCUACCUCAAGAUAAGAUUUCCCCGAGACUUUAUGUCUCCUAAAGAGCCGUUGAAGACUACGACGUUGAUAGGUUGGAUGUGGAAGCAUAGUGAUAUGUGAAGCUGACCAAUACUAAUUGCUCGUGAGGCUUGACUAUACAACACCC
Molecule: ribosomal RNA, 938 nt
Filed under: Salmonella enterica subsp. enterica serovar Enteritidis
Lineage: Bacteria; Pseudomonadati; Pseudomonadota; Gammaproteobacteria; Enterobacterales; Enterobacteriaceae
Description: partial 23S ribosomal RNA
Rfam family: Bacterial large subunit ribosomal RNA
Source: RNAcentral